Molecule: ribosomal RNA, 439 nt
Filed under: uncultured bacterium
Lineage: Bacteria
Description: bacterial SSU rRNA
Rfam family: Bacterial small subunit ribosomal RNA
Source: RNAcentral
AGUGAACGCUGGCGGCAGGCCUAAUACAUGCAAGUCGAACGGCAGCACAGCAGAGCUUGCUCUGUGGGUGGCGAGUGGCGGACGGGUGAGGAAUACGUGGGAAUCUGCCCAGUCGUGGGGGAUAACGUAGGGAAACUUACGCUAAUACCGCAUGCGCCCUUCGGGGAAAGCCGGGGACCUUCGGGCCUGGCGCGAUUGGAUGAGCCCACGUCGGAUUAGCUAGUUGGCGGGGUAAAGGCCCACCAAGGCGACGAUCCGUAGCUGGUCUGAGAGGAUGAUCAGCCACACUGGAACUGAGACACGGUCCAGACUCCUACGGGAGGCAGCAGUAGGGAAUAUUGGACAAUGGCGCAAGCCUGAUCCAGCCAUGCCGCGUGAGUGAAGAAGGCCCUCGGGUUGAAAGCUCUUUUGUCCGGAAAAGAAAAGACGCCGGGUUAAU